ACUAGGUGCCGUGGUGCACACCUGUAACCCCAGCUCCUCGGGAGGAGGAGGCAGGUGAAUGACUAGAGCCCAGGAGUUUGAGGCCAGCCCGGGCAACUUAGCAAGAUACUGCUUCAA
This 117-nucleotide small RNA is filed under the name Marmota monax (woodchuck). The record is from RNAcentral. Lineage: Eukaryota; Metazoa; Chordata; Mammalia; Rodentia; Sciuridae.